RNAcentral lists this long non-coding RNA (971 nucleotides) under Ananas comosus (pineapple). RNAcentral describes it as "long non-coding RNA (ACOM_LNC026767)". The record is from RNAcentral. Lineage: Eukaryota; Viridiplantae; Streptophyta; Magnoliopsida; Poales; Bromeliaceae.
UUAUGUGCCUUAAGUUCGGGUAAACUUUUCUAUAGGCAUGUUUGUUUGGAUGAAAGUGGGGUGGAAGUGGAGGAGGGCGAAAUCGUUUUUGUUAUAAAGGGUCACUUCCGCUGUUUGGUUCGCCAUAAAAAAGUUAUGAUUGAAACUCGAGUUAACCUCAAACGGCGUAAUUGACUUCGGCCUAUCGUGGGCCGAUGUCAAUUACGGUGAAGAAAUGUAAGAAAAAAUAAUAAAAUAAUAUAAUAGGUAAAGAUAAUUAUAUUUAAAUAUAUUUAAUUAUAUAUACAGUUGAUAUAUUAAAAUAUGAUAAAAAUUGUUUAGUUAAGUUUUAAUAUUUUCUUUAUUUGGUUUGUACAAUUAAAAUAUAAUAAAAAUUGAUUAAUUAAGUAUUAGUAUUUUUUACUUUAUAAUUUUAUUAUUGUAUUAGUAUAAUUUAUGUAUAAAAAAAAUUUAAUUAUUUAAAUUAAAUUUUAAUUAUAUAAAAAUAUAAUUAUAUUAUUUUUAUUUAUUAAAAUAUUUAUUAUUUAUAUAUAAGUUAUAUUUUAUAUCAUACACUUCCUACCAAACAAACAGCAGAACUAAUAAAACUUCACUUCUAUAACUACAAAACAAAUAGCGGAAAAGAAGUAGUUUUUAUCGAACACCACUUUAACCCAAAAUCCACUUCAACCCAAAGUCCAGUUUCGGCGAAACAAACAUGCCUGCACGUGCGGGGUGCUCUGUAUGCGAUGAAUAGGAGAGCCCAGCUGGGGCACUCGAAAAAUUAUAGAAUGCAUAAGUUAUAUUAGUGACGUGGAGUCUCAACCAAUUAAAUAUAUUAUUUUAUAUUAAUCCGUCGCAUCAUAAUUAUAAAAAAAAUAUUUUUAUAGUUAUUUUUUUAAAAAAAAGAAGAGAUAUGAUUGAUUUAUUUUUAUUGAUAUGACGCAAGUGUGAUAAAAUAGACUUUCUCGAAAUGCUGUUGAGAAAUCGAU